GAGGGUAUAGCUCAAGAGGUAGAGCGCAUGCUUAGCAUGCAUGAGGUCCUGGGCUCAAUCCCCAGUACCUCCU
Molecule: transfer RNA, 73 nt
Filed under: Camelus bactrianus (Bactrian camel)
Lineage: Eukaryota; Metazoa; Chordata; Mammalia; Artiodactyla; Camelidae
Also listed under: 2 other names
Rfam family: tRNA
About the family: Transfer RNA (tRNA) molecules are approximately 80 nucleotides in length.
Source: Rfam by way of RNAcentral